AAAAAAGGAAAAUUAUCUCAUGCUCUUGAUGCCUGUAGCUAUCCAAAAGUUUGACAGCUUCAGCUCAGUUAUGUUGUUUGUUCGUUUUUGUUGUUAUGUGGUGUUACCUAUCCUUUCUCACUGCCAAAGAUGUCUAGAGCAGAAAAGAUGCUCUAGAUUCCUGCUGUUAGGUCACAACACUUUAUUAUUUCUAGUUUGUUGUAUGUGUGAGGCUGAGGAUUAGGAACUAAGCAUUGCAAACUCAGAUCUUCCUGCUAUCUGUGCAUGCUAUUACAUAGGUACAACAUCCAGAUCAAGUUUGUUGUAUUUGAGCAGAGAUGUUAUCCUCAUGGGAAGGCUGAUAUUCUGUGUUUACACAACAGGUUAAAAGAUGAGGGGCAGAACACCCUUUGGAGAGGGACCUAGCUACACACAAGCAGUUGCCUCAAAUAAUGCCAUUGCUUAUGGUCACGGGUCACUUCCUUCCACGUCUGUAUGCCUGGCUCCUUUUUUAUCAGGUCUUGGCUAAUCCUGUGUGCCUGGCCCUGCCAGCCUCCUUCUGUCCUCCCAAGCUCAGGACAACCCUCGGUCGCUGCAGCAGCGUCUGAAACCGCUGUCUUGCUCUUCCCAAGGGAGUGAGCUGAGAUGCCACACUGAUUUCACAUCUAUUGCAAAACACUGGCUCUUGAGGGGAUCAGGAGUGCUCUGUCAUAUACUGCCUCUGACACUCAGUGCUAGAAUUGUGUGGCUGGUCAAGUAAGCAGCAGCUUCAUUUCUUACCAUGCUGGAUAAGCGAGGUUUUGUGGACAAGGUGAAAGUCCAUCCGGUGUGCUGGAGUUCUGCUUCCCUUAAUCUCCACUUUGAGCUUCAACCCCUCCAAUGAGAAGGGACAGGUGUCACCCAGGGGAAAGACACAGAGCCCCUUCCCACCCACCAUAAUGGGAAACCAUGCCGCUCCUGCUAAACUGAAUGCUGCUGCUCCUGAGGAUGAAGAUGAAGCCUACAGACAAGUCCUGAGCUGCCGUGGUGUGCCACGCUGAUCACUGUGCAGCAGCCUUCACUUCCCAACAAAGUUCCAAGAAAUACCUUUUGCUCGGAACAUAUUGAUUUGCAUUAAACAUAUUUCUUAAUUCUAGAAUAAAACUUCUGAACAACAAAAAGGCAUAAGAAAACAGUAUGCCCAAGAAAAAUACUUUGCAGUUCAGCUGUUCACAUAGAAAGAGUAGGCAGAUUCAAGUUCUCCUCCAUUUCAGAAAAGGCAGGGAUCAAAACUCACCCUUCCAUUCUCUGAAGAAGUGAGUUAACCACAGAUUACCCAAUGCUUAUUUUCUGUUUCUGCUUCUCUCUGUGUUUCAUGUUUGGUUUUGGUUUUUUUUUUCUUUUUUUUUUUUUUUUUUCCUCUGUUUUGUUUAUGUCACUAAUUUCUUCCCCACACAAAGGAAACAACCAGCUUCCAGAGGAAAAAGAAUACCUGCAGGAAGGCUUCAAGUGAUCUAAGAAACAUUAUGUUUGAAUCCUUAAAGACAACUCAGGAAAAAGUGAGAACAAUGGAAUACUUCGUUGAAUAUCCAGUGCAUGUGAUUAAACACCUUAAUAAUAUCUGAGGCCUACACCAAUGGCCUCACGGCCCUAGCACCAGCCUCAGUGGAGUGCCUUUUUUCUGCUGUAUUUGUGUGACAGAUAUGAAUGACAAGAAUGCCUGUGACCGCCUGCCUGCCACAGAGCUCUGGAAUAAGCUUCAGUACUCAGCAGUGGACGCAACCAAUUCAAAAUUAUGCCACAAUAGCUGCACCAAACAGCAAUUCCACAAAAAUAAGUAUUCUGCUCCUGAAAUGCCAAAUGCUUUACUAAAGAUUUGCAUCUUGAAAACCGUGAAGAGCUAUCUGUGAAAGCCCAUAGCAUACAUGAACAGCGUGCAGAAGAGCAUCAGAUAUACGCUCCAGAAAAAAUGGUGAAAUUGAAUUCUUUAAAAUGUGAAGCAAUUUUUUAUUUAGAUCCAAAUAGAGCAUUCUAUCUAUUCACGUAUAACUUGGAAAUAUCUUUUUCUUCUCCUCCUUCUUUAUUUAAAAAAACAUGUUUGCACCUAGAAGAAGCAAGAGAGUGCAGCGUUUGUGGUAGUUUUGCAGGGAGCUGUAGAAGAGACAAAGACUCUUAACACUCAAACUCCACUGAAAAAAAUGUCAGAGGCAUGAUUUUGUGCCAAGGAGAUGAGAGAGAGAAUUUUUAAUAUUCUUGAAUUGGAUUGAGCUCCUCAAAUUUGAUCUGAGUUUUGCAGUGUUGGCAAGAAUGAGUCUAUGCCCAU
Long non-coding RNA from Tympanuchus pallidicinctus (lesser prairie-chicken), 2281 nucleotides. RefSeq lists it as uncharacterized. The record is from RefSeq and is a predicted model, not a curated record. NCBI's taxonomy places the organism in Eukaryota, Metazoa, Chordata, Aves, Galliformes, Phasianidae. The transcript is spliced from 2 exons.